This 566-nucleotide ribosomal RNA is filed under the name uncultured bacterium. RNAcentral's name for it is "bacterial SSU rRNA". It matches the Rfam family "Bacterial small subunit ribosomal RNA", at positions 335 to 919 of the family's 1533-position model. The record is from RNAcentral.
AUUCCUACGGGAGGCAGCAGUGGGGAAUCUUGGACAAUGGGCGCAAGCCUGAUCCAGCCAUGCCGCGUGAGUGAUGAAGGCCUUAGGGUCGUAAAGCUCUUUCGCCAGAGAUGAUAAUGACAGUAUCUGGUAAAGAAACCCCGGCUAACUCCGUGCCAGCAGCCGCGGUAAUACGGAGGGGGUUAGCGUUGUUCGGAAUUACUGGGCGUAAAGCGUACGUAGGCGGAUUAGUCAGUUAGAGGUGAAAUCCCGGGGCUCAACCCCGGAACUGCCUUUAAUACUGCUAGUCUUGAGUUCGAGAGAGGUGAGUGGAAUUCCGAGUGUAGAGGUGAAAUUCGUAGAUAUUCGGAGGAACACCAGUGGCGAAGGCGGCUCACUGGCUCGAUACUGACGCUGAGGUACGAAAGUGUGGGGAGCAAACAGGAUUAGAUACCCUGGUAGUCCACACCGUAAACGAUGAAUGCCAGUCGUCGGGUAGCAUGCUAUUCGGUGACACACCUAACGGAUUAAGCAUUCCGCCUGGGGAGUACGGUCGCAAGAUUAAAACUCAAAGGAAUUGACGGAAU